This 500-nucleotide ribosomal RNA is filed under the name uncultured bacterium. RNAcentral describes it as "partial 16S ribosomal RNA". It matches the Rfam family "Bacterial small subunit ribosomal RNA", at positions 30 to 523 of the family's 1533-position model. The record is from RNAcentral.
AUUGAACGCUGGCGGCAGGCCUAACACAUGCAAGUCGAGCGGACUGAGGUAGCUUGCUACCAAGGUUAGCGGAGGACGGGUGAGUAACGGGUAGGAAUCUACCUGGUAAUGGGGGAUAACGUUCCGAAAGGAACGCUAAUACCGCAUACGCCCUAAGGGGGAAAGUGGGGGACCUUCGGGCCUCACGUUAUCAGAUGAGCCGGCGUUGGAUUAGCUCGUUGGUAGGGUAAAGGCCUACCAAGGCGACGAUCCUUAACUGGUCUGACAGGAUGAGCGGUAACCGUGGAACUGAGCCACGGCCCAGACUCCUACGGGAGCCAGAGGUGGGUAAUUUUGGAAGAUGGGGGCAACCCUGAUCCAGCCUGGCCGGGUGUGUGAAGAAGGCCUUCGGGUUGUAAAGCACUUUCGGUCAGAAAGAAGGGUUUCAAAUUAAUACUUGGCCAUUUCUACGGUACUGACAAAAGAAGCACCGGCUAACUCCGUGCCAGCAGCCGCCGAAA